GGAUCGCAGGCUGCAACCCGCCUGCGUGAAGUCGGAAUCGCUAGUAAUCGCGGAUCAGCAUGCCGCGGUGAAUACGUUCCCGGGCCUUGCACACACCGCCCGUCACACCAUGAGAGUCGGGAACACCCGAAGUCCGUAGCCUAACAGCAAUGAGGGCGCGGCCGAAGGUGGGUUCGAUAAUUGGGGUGAAGUCGUAACAAGGUAGC
This 206-nucleotide ribosomal RNA is filed under the name uncultured bacterium. Its description in RNAcentral is "partial 16S ribosomal RNA". It matches the Rfam family "Bacterial small subunit ribosomal RNA", at positions 1295 to 1500 of the family's 1533-position model. The record is from RNAcentral.